This 27-nucleotide non-coding RNA is filed under the name Cricetulus griseus (Chinese hamster). The record is from RNAcentral. Lineage: Eukaryota; Metazoa; Chordata; Mammalia; Rodentia; Cricetidae.
CCCACUAAUUUCAGGUCACUAGAAAGC